RNAcentral lists this ribosomal RNA (492 nucleotides) under uncultured bacterium. Its description in RNAcentral is "partial 16S ribosomal RNA". It matches the Rfam family "Bacterial small subunit ribosomal RNA", at positions 29 to 507 of the family's 1533-position model. The record is from RNAcentral.
AGUGAACGCUGGCUGUAGGCCUAACACAUGCAAGUCGAACGGCAGCACAGUAAGAGCUUGCUCUUACGGGUGGCGAGUGGCGGACGGGUGAGGAAUACAUCGGAAUCUACUUUUUCGUGGGGGAUAACGUAGGGAAACUUACGCUAAUACCGCAUACGACCUACGGGUGAAAGCAGGGGAUCUUCGGACCUUGCGCGAUUGAAUGAGCCGAUGUCGGAUUAGCUAGUUGGCGGGGUAAAGGCCCACCAAGGCGACGAUCCGUAGCUGGUCUGAGAGGAUGAUCAGCCACACUGGAACUGAGACACGGUCCAGACUCCUACGGGAGGCAGCAGUGGGGAAUAUCGGACAAUGGGCGCAAGCCUGAUCCAGCCAUACCGCGUGGGUGAAGAAGGCCUUCGGGUUGUAAAGCCCUUUUGUUGGGAAAGAAAAGCAGCAGGUUAAUACCCCGCUGUUCUGACGGUACCCAAAGAAUAAGCACCGGCUAACUUCGUG